CCUUGUGUUGCGUGCUCGCGGUGAUCGCCUGCUCAGCUGAGUUGUGUCGCUUCGGAAUGUCGCCAGAUUUUCCUCGUGAAUCCAGUUACGUCUUUAAAAAAAAAUUUCCCCUCCGCACAUGGGCGUGGGUUUUCACCCUGAGAAAACUCUGUACUUGGUAAAAAGCUAAACAACCUUUCCUUGCGGCUCUAGUACAAACCCUGGUCAUUGCGUAUUCUUUUAGCCCGAUGUGAAAACCGAUUCAAGUCUAGCUCUGUGUUUUGGUUUUGUAUUAGAAUUUGCCUCUGGCCUUAGCAGCACCUCAUUUCGUGUGUAUUAUCUGGAGUUGCUUCGCGCUGUUCUGCACCCUGCACUUGUGGCCAUGAACAAGACUUGCUCCUUGCUCUACUGCGGCUUUGAUUCUGCAAUACUCAUACAACAUGGCUGUUACUAAGUAACCUUGUCCUGAGGUGUAUUUGUCCCCAUGCUCAGCUUCUGGGAGUCUCAGCAGAAAGAAGCCAGAGUGGUACUUGUGUACUGAACCUCAUCCAAACCAACAUAUUGGAUUUUUUAUCAGCCUUCCUUCAGUAGAAUAUCAGUUUCAUGAAGAAGGGGACUUUGAUUUGUUUGCUGCUCUACCACCAGUGCCUGGUACAUGACAGGAGCUACCCUCCCCCACCCAAAUUCACAUGUCAAAGCCCCAACUCCCAGUACCUCAGAGUGUGACUGCAUUUAUAGGUAAGUUGUUUAAACAACUAAGUUAAAAUGAAGUCAUUAGGGUGGGCUCCAAUCCAACAUGACUGAUGUCCUUAUAAGAAAAGAAGAUUAGGACAGAGAGGUACAGAGGGAAGACCAUGUUAGACACAGGGGAAAGGGGGCCAGCUGCAAGACAAGGAGAGAGGCCUCAGAAGAAAGGAACAUUGCUGACACCUUGAUCUCACACUUCUGGCCUCCAGAACUAGGAGAAAAAUCCUUGCUGUUAAAUAAUUCCCUAGUCUGUUGUUCUUUGAUAUGACAGCCCUAGUAAACAAACAGUGUUUCUGAGAAUUAAGUGAGGAAAUGUACGCGAAUGCCAAGCCCAGGGCCUGGCAUGAGAAUGCACCCCAGCCUGGAUCAGCGACCACUGCCAUCACCACAGUGACUCCUGUGCAUCCUAGGCCGUGUGACUCAGGUGCCCUCCCAUCUUCACCUACCUGCUCCCCCGCUUAUCCGAUGGACCCUGGUCCUAUCACAUGAGGGUGUGACUCCUGACACCCAGGCGGCCCCGCCUGCUUUCUACUCCUGCUCACGUCCUUGCCACCAGGCAGGUCUCUGCUUCCUCACACCCACAACAGUCUCUCCAUCUCUUUCUAAACAAAUUCUUAUCUUAUUUCAGGGUCCGUUUUCAUUUUUGUGACUACUUUUGAAAACUUAAUAAUGCCUUUGGUGGCUCAGAUGGUAGAGAAUCUGCCUGCAAUGCAGGAGAACCAAGUUUGAUCCCUGGGCCAGGAAGAUCCCCUGGAGAAGGGAAUGGCAACCCACUCCAGUAUUCUUGCCUGGAGAAUUCCAUGGACAGAGGAGCCUGAAGAGCUUCAGUCCAUGGGGUCACAAAGAGUUGGACACGACUGAGCAACUAACACUCACUUGAAAACUUUAGCUCCGAAUAUACCCUGCACCUGUUUUUUUUCAGCUUUGAAAUACCAUUCAGAGGUUACUUUUAUCCAGUUCCACCUUUGAUGAAAAAACUGAGGGUAAGAGAGGGCCAGACCCAUGUUUGGAGUUGCAAAGCCUGUUGGUGAGUUGAUCAGAAUUUUUGUCCUGGUCCUGCUCCUCCCAUGGAAAGGGCUGUCCCCUAUAAGGCGCAGACCAGCCUCAGCAGACCCUGUUCUCCAUAAUACUCCCUAGCCUGUCAUACAGGUAUUUGGGGCUACCACGAGCAUGAGACUGUUCUCCCAGUAAAAACUCAACCCAACUUUACAUCACCACCCAAGCUUCAGCAAGACAGUACUGGAAGAGGUCCUCUGCCUCUCUCAACGUGAGUACACAGAAGCAGUGAAGCUACUGAGCUUUGUAGAGGAAUAAGCUGUGGAUCAUAUUCAUGCACCCCUCUGUUCUUUGUUUUAAAGAUUU
Dama dama (fallow deer) is the source of this 2088-nucleotide long non-coding RNA. RefSeq lists it as uncharacterized. The transcript has 3 exons. NCBI's taxonomy places the organism in Eukaryota, Metazoa, Chordata, Mammalia, Artiodactyla, Cervidae. The record is from RefSeq and is a predicted model, not a curated record.